AUUGAACGCUAGCGGCAGGCUUAACACAUGCAAGUCGAGCGAGCGGCGGACGGGUGAGUAAUGUCUGGGAAACUGCCUGAUGGAGGGGGAUAACUACUGGAAACAGUAGCUAAUACCGCAUACCAUCAGAGGUGCCCAGAUGGGAUGAGCUAGUUGGUGGGGUAAUGGCUCACCAAGGCCACGAUCCCUAGCUGGUCUGAGAGGAUGACCAGCCACACUGGAACUGAGACACGGUCCAGACUCCUACGGGAGGCAGCAGUGGGGAAUAUUGAACAAUGGGCGAAAGCCUGAUUCAGCCAUCCCGAGUGUGUGAAGAAGGCCUUCGGGUUGUAAAGAACGUUCAGCGAGGAGGCGUUACUCGCAGAACAAGCACCGGCUAACUACGUGCCAGCAGCCGCGGUAAUUC
RNAcentral lists this ribosomal RNA (406 nucleotides) under uncultured bacterium. RNAcentral's name for it is "partial 16S ribosomal RNA". It matches the Rfam family "Bacterial small subunit ribosomal RNA", at positions 30 to 526 of the family's 1533-position model. The record is from RNAcentral.